UCGAGAAUUUUUCUCAAUGGGCGCAAGCCUGAAGGAGCGACGCCGCGUGGGGGAUGAAGGGCUUCGGUCCGUAAACCCCUGUCAUCUGGGAACAAUUCCUAUGCGUGAAUAGCGCCUAGGUUGAUAGUACUGGAAGAGGAAGGGACGGCUAACUCUGUGCCAGCAGCCGCGGUAAUACAGAGGUCCCAAGCGUUGUUCGGAUUCACUGGGCGUAAAGGGUGCGUAGGUGGCUUGGAAAGUCUGAUGUGAAAUCUCGGAGCUCAACUCCGGAACGGCAUUGGAGACUACUGAGCUAGAGGAUCGGAGGGGAGACUGGAAUUCUUGGUGUAGCAGUGAAAUGCGUAGAUAUCAAGAGGAACACCAGUGGCGAAGGCGAGUCUCUGGACGAAACCUGACACUGAGGCACGAAAGCUAGGGGAGCAAACAGG
Molecule: ribosomal RNA, 428 nt
Filed under: uncultured bacterium
Lineage: Bacteria
Description: bacterial SSU rRNA
Rfam family: Bacterial small subunit ribosomal RNA
Source: RNAcentral